AUUAAAACAACAAAUAACCAGGUGCUCCGCAGGGCGCAGCUUUAUACGACCGCAGAGGUCGAUCCCUGAACAGUUGGGGCAGGUAUGGACAAAACAUUUAAGCGUGAUACAGCUCUGAAUUUGGAUUGUGAUCAAAUUUUUGACAUUAUAUGGUUUUUUUACACAAAACAAAUGUCAAGAUUUUACAAAUCAAUUAAAGAUUUCUUCUUCAAACUUAUUUAAAUCUAAAAUUAAAUAGUUGACACAGCAUAGGUUUCUGACACAGAAUGAAUGUG
Molecule: long non-coding RNA, 275 nt
Filed under: Mytilus galloprovincialis (Mediterranean mussel)
Lineage: Eukaryota; Metazoa; Mollusca; Bivalvia; Mytilida; Mytilidae
Source: RNAcentral